AUGAGCAUCAGGCUCCUGUGCUGUGUGGCCUUUUCUCUCCUGUGUGCAGAUCACACAGGUGCUGGAGUCUCCCAGUCCCCCAGUAACAAAGUCACAGAGAAGGGAAAGGAUGUAGCGCUCAGGUGUGAUCCAAUUUCAGGUCAUGCUGUCCUUUACUGGUACCGACAGAACCUGGGGCAGGGCCUAGAGUUUCUAAUUUACUUCCAAGGCACGGGUGCAGUAGAUGACUCAGGGCUGCGCAGUGAUCGGUUCUCUGCAACAAGGCCUGAAGGAUCCGUCUCUACUCUGAAGAUCCAACGCACAGAGCAGGGGGACUCAGCCAUGUACUUCUGUGCCAGCAGCUUAACCACAGCAUGA
Molecule: non-coding RNA, 357 nt
Organism: Cercocebus atys (sooty mangabey)
Lineage: Eukaryota; Metazoa; Chordata; Mammalia; Primates; Cercopithecidae
Source: the annotation of a RefSeq genome assembly